CCCGUGAAGAAGCGGGGAUACUACUAUAAGACGAGAAGACCCCAUGGAGCUUUAAACCCAACUACACUCCUAUCCCCAAUAACUACUUAACUAAAAGGAUACUGUAUGCUUGGUUUUAGGUUGGGGCGACCACGGAGUAAAAACUAACCUCCAUGAUGAACGGACCUACUUCCUUAUCUAAGAGCCACCCCUCUAAGAAUUAGUACACUAACAUAAAAUGAUCCUUUUCUUGAUCAACGAACCAAGUUACCCUGGGGAUAACAGCGCAAUCCAUUUCAAGAGCCCAUAUCGACAAAUGGGUUUACGACCUCGAUGUUGGAUCAGGAUGUCCCGGUGGUGUAGCAGCUACCAAUGGUUCGUUUGUUCAACGAUUAAAAUCCUACGUGAUCUG
This 391-nucleotide ribosomal RNA is filed under the name Mantidactylus lugubris. RNAcentral describes it as "partial 16S ribosomal RNA". It matches the Rfam family "Bacterial large subunit ribosomal RNA", at positions 2050 to 2607 of the family's 2925-position model. Lineage: Eukaryota; Metazoa; Chordata; Amphibia; Anura; Mantellidae. The record is from RNAcentral.